AGCAUCGGUGCUACGUAUCAU
Molecule: non-coding RNA, 21 nt
Filed under: Arabidopsis thaliana (thale cress)
Lineage: Eukaryota; Viridiplantae; Streptophyta; Magnoliopsida; Brassicales; Brassicaceae
Source: RNAcentral